This 266-nucleotide ribosomal RNA is filed under the name uncultured bacterium. RNAcentral's name for it is "partial 16S ribosomal RNA". It matches the Rfam family "Bacterial small subunit ribosomal RNA", at positions 335 to 617 of the family's 1533-position model. The record is from RNAcentral.
GCCCCUACGGGGCGCAGCAGUGGGGGAUAUUGCACAAUGGGGGAAACCCUGAUGCAGCGACGCCGCGUGAGUGAAGAAGUAUUUCGGUACGUAAAGCUCUAUCAGCAGGGAAGAAUAAUGACGGUACCUGACUAAGAAGCCCCGGCUAACUACGUGCCAGCAGCCGCGGUAAUACGUAGGGGGCAAGCGUUAUCCGGAUUUACUGGGUGUAAAGGGAGCGUAGACGGUAUGGCAAGUCUGAUGUGAAAGCCCAGGGCUUAACCCUG